This 310-nucleotide ribosomal RNA is filed under the name uncultured Slackia sp. RNAcentral describes it as "bacterial SSU rRNA". It matches the Rfam family "Bacterial small subunit ribosomal RNA", at positions 30 to 339 of the family's 1533-position model. Lineage: Bacteria; Bacillati; Actinomycetota; Coriobacteriia; Eggerthellales; Eggerthellaceae. The record is from RNAcentral.
UGAACGCUGGCGGCGCGCCUAACACAUGCAAGUCGAACGAGUAAGACGCCUUCGGGCGUGGAUAGAGUGGCGAACGGGUGAGUAACACGUGACCAACCUGCCCCCUCCUCCGGGACAACCUCGGGAAACCGAGGCUAAUACCGGAUACUCCGGGCCCCCCGCAUGGGGGGCCCGGGAAAGCCCUGACGGGAGGGGAUGGGGUCGCGGCCCAUCAGGUAGACGGCGGGGUAACGGCCCACCGUGCCUACUACGGGUAGCCGGGCUGAGAGGCCGAUCGGCCACAUUGGGACUGAGACACGGCCCAGACUCC